CCAGCUCCUGCCAACCUAGCAGUUCGAAAGCACGGCAAAGUGCAAGUAGAUAAAUAGGUACCACUCCGGCGGGAAGGUAAACGGCGUUUCCGUGCGCUGCUCUGGUUCGCCAGAAGCAGCUUAGUCCUGCUGGCCACAUGACCCGGAAGCUGUACGCCGGCUCCCUCGGCCAAUAAAGCGAGAUGAGCGCCGCAACCCCAGAGUCGUCCGCGACUGGACCUAAUUAUCAGGGGUCCCUUUACCUUUACCUUAC
Molecule: non-coding RNA, 253 nt
Organism: Podarcis lilfordi (Lilford's wall lizard)
Lineage: Eukaryota; Metazoa; Chordata; Lepidosauria; Squamata; Lacertidae
Source: the annotation of a GenBank genome assembly